CACCCGCAGCUCGAGUGGUGGUCACUUUUAUUGAGCCUAAAGCGUUUGUAGCCGGUUUUGCAAAUCUUCAGAUAAAUUCCUCUGCUUAACAGAUGAUCUUCUGAAGAGACUGCGAGACUUGGGACCGGGUGAGGUUGAAGGUACUUCCGGGGUAGGGGUAAAAUCCUGUAAUCCUGGAAGGACGACCGGUGGCGAAGGCGUUCAACUAGAACGGAUCCGACGGUGAGGAACGAGGGCUAGGGUAGCAAACCGGAUUAGAUACCCGGGUAGUCCUAGCUGUAAACACUGCCCACUUGGUGUUGCCCCUCCGAUGAGGGGAGGCAGUGCCGGAGCGAAGGUGUUAAGUGGGCCGCUUGGGGAGUAUGGUCGCAAGGCUGAAACUUAAAGGAAUUGGCGGGGGAGCACCGCAACGGGAGGAGCGUGCGGUUUAAUUGGAUUCAACGCCGGAAAACUCACCGGGAGCGACCUUUGGAUGAGAGUCAGCCUGAUGAGCUUACUCGAUAGAAGGAGAGGUGGUGCAUGGCCGUCGUCAGCUCGUACCGUAGGGCGUUCACUUAAGUGUGAUAACGAGCGAGACCCCCAUCUCUAAUUGCUAACGUGCAUUCGCGUGCACGCGCACUUUAGAGGGACCGCCAGUGCUAAACUGGAGGAAGGAGGGGUCGACGGCAGGUCAGUACGCCCCGAAUCUCCCGGGCAACACGCGCGCUACAAAGGGCAGGACAAUGAGUCGCCACCUCGAAAGGGGGAGCUAAUCUCGAAACCUGUUCGUAGUUAGGAUUGAGGGCUGUAACUCGCCCUCAUGAAUGUGGAUUCCGUAGUAAUCGCGGGUCAACAGCCCGCGGUGAAUAUGCCCCUGCUCCU
RNAcentral lists this ribosomal RNA (861 nucleotides) under uncultured archaeon. RNAcentral's name for it is "bacterial SSU rRNA". It matches the Rfam family "Archaeal small subunit ribosomal RNA", at positions 474 to 1337 of the family's 1478-position model. The record is from RNAcentral.